GACGAACGCUGGCGGCGUGCUUAACACAUGCAAGUCGAACGGAAAGGCCCUGCUUUUGUGGGGUGCUCGAGUGGCGAACGGGUGAGUAACACGUGAGUAACCUGCCCUUGACUUUGGGAUAACUUCAGGAAACUGGGGCUAAUACCGGAUAGGAGCUCCUGCUGCAUGGUGGGGGUUGGAAAGUUUCGGCGGUUGGGGAUGGACUCGCGGCUUAUCAGCUUGUUGGUGGGGUAGUGGCUUACCAAGGCUUUGACGGGUAGCCGGCCUGAGAGGGUGACCGGCCACACUGGGACUGAGAUACGGCCCAGACUCCUACGGGAGGCAGCGGAGGGGAAUAUUGCACAAUGGGCGGAAGCCUGAUGCAGCAACGCCGCGUGCGGGAUGACGGCCUUCGGGUUGUAAACCGCUUUCGCCUGUGACGAAGCGUGAGUGACGGUAAUGGGUAAAGAAGCACCGGCUAACUACGUG
This 468-nucleotide ribosomal RNA is filed under the name uncultured bacterium. RNAcentral's name for it is "partial 16S ribosomal RNA". It matches the Rfam family "Bacterial small subunit ribosomal RNA", at positions 28 to 507 of the family's 1533-position model. The record is from RNAcentral.